RNAcentral lists this ribosomal RNA (253 nucleotides) under uncultured bacterium. Its description in RNAcentral is "partial 16S ribosomal RNA". It matches the Rfam family "Bacterial small subunit ribosomal RNA", at positions 524 to 776 of the family's 1533-position model. The record is from RNAcentral.
UACGUAGGGUGCGAGCGUUAAUCGGAAUUACUGGGCGUAAAGAGUGCGUAGGCGGUUCGUUAAGUCAGCUGUGAAAGCCCCGGGCUCAACCUGGGAACUGCGGUUGAAACUGGCGAACUAGAAUCUGGCAGAGGGGGGUGGAAUUCCACGUGUAGCAGUGAAAUGCGUAGAGAUGUGGAGGAACACCGAUGGCGAAGGCAGGUCUCUGGGCAUUAACUGACGCUGAGGAGCGAAAGCAUGGGGAGCGAACAGG